GAUGAACGCUGGCGGCGUGCCUAAUACAUGCAAGUCGAGCGAACAGACGAGGAGCUUGCUUCUUUGACGUUAGCGGCGGACGGGUGAGUAACACGUAGGUAACCUACCUAUAAGACUGGGAUAACUUCGGGAAACCGGAGCUAAUACCGGAUGAUAUUUUGAACCGCAUGGUUCGAUAGUGAAAGACGGCCUUGCUGUCACUUAUAGAUGGAUCCGCGCUGCAUUAGCUAGUUGGUAAGGUAACGGCUUACCAAGGCAACGAUGCGUAGCCGACCUGAGAGGGUGAUCGGCCACACUGGAACUGAGACACGGUCCAGACUCCUACGGGAGGCAGCAGUAGGGAAUCUUCCGCAAUGGGCGAAAGCCUGACGGAGCAACGCCGCGUGAGUGAUGAAGGUCUUCGGAUCGUAAAACUCUGUUAUUAGGGAAGAACAAAUGUGUAAGUAACUGUGCACGUCUUGACGGUACCUAAUCAGAAAGCCACGGCUAACUACGUG
This 497-nucleotide ribosomal RNA is filed under the name uncultured bacterium. RNAcentral's name for it is "partial 16S ribosomal RNA". It matches the Rfam family "Bacterial small subunit ribosomal RNA", at positions 28 to 507 of the family's 1533-position model. The record is from RNAcentral.